Molecule: ribosomal RNA, 253 nt
Filed under: uncultured bacterium
Lineage: Bacteria
Description: partial 16S ribosomal RNA
Rfam family: Bacterial small subunit ribosomal RNA
Source: RNAcentral
UACAGAGGGUGCUAGCGUUAAUCGGAUUUACUGGGCGUAAAGCGUGCGCAGGCUGCUUCGCAAGUCAGGCGUGAAAUCCCCUGGCUUAACCUGGGAAUGGCGUCUGAAACUACGGAGCUGGAGUGUGGCAGAGGGAGGUAGAAUUCCACGUGUAGCGGUGAAAUGCGUAGAUAUGUGGAGGAAUACCGAUGGCGAAGGCAGCCUCCUGGGCCAACACUGACGCUCAUGCACGAAAGCGUGGGGAGCAAACAGG